RNAcentral lists this ribosomal RNA (606 nucleotides) under uncultured Humicola. RNAcentral describes it as "eukaryotic LSU rRNA". The stretch from base 238 to 391 matches the Rfam family "5.8S ribosomal RNA". Lineage: Eukaryota; Fungi; Ascomycota. The record is from RNAcentral.
UCUUGGUCAUUUAGAGGAAGUAAAAGUCGUAACAAGGUCUCCGUUGGUGAACCAGCGGAGGGAUCAUUACAGAGUUGCAAAACUCCCUAAACCAUUGUGAACGUUACCUAAACCGUUGCUUCGGCGGGCGGCCCGGGUCCUUCCCGGCGCCCAUCGGCCCUCGCGGGCGCCCGCCGGAGGUAAACCAAACUAUUGCAUUGUAUGGCCUCUCUGAGUCUUCUGUACUGAAUAAGUCAAAACUUUCAACAACGGAUCUCUUGGUUCUGGCAUCGAUGAAGAACGCAGCGAAAUGCGAUAAGUAAUGUGAAUUGCAGAAUUCAGUGAAUCAUCGAAUCUUUGAACGCACAUUGCGCCCGCCAGUAUUCUGGCGGGCAUGCCUGUUCGAGCGUCAUUUCAACCAUCAAGCCCCGGGCUUGUGUUGGGGACCUGCGGCUGCCGCAGGCCCUGAAAUGCAGUGGCGGGCUCGCUGUCACUCCGAGCGUAGUAGUUACAUCUCGCUCUGGGCGUGCUGCGGGUUCCGGCCGUUAAAAGCCUUAUUUACCCAAGGUUGACCUCGGAUCAGGUAGGAAGACCCGCUGAACUUAAGCAUAUCAAUAAGCGGAGGAA